CCACUCACCAGUGCAGGAAGUGUUCGCUCUUUUCCCACAGGACCAGGCUCUGUCACCACCUGCUCAUCCAGCGGCACACGGGCACUGGCCAUGGCUUCACCGUCUCUGCGUUUUCUACAGUAAUCAUUAUGACAGAUUCGGUUCCAGACAUGGUACAGCAAGUCGUGUGUCGCCCUGUUGCUGCCUACUCUAGAGGGAAUGACGCGACCAAAGAGGACAAGUUACUUGAGCAUCACUAGCUGAAGCAUCAGCUCAAUGACAUUCACUGAAGGAACAAUAAAAAAGAAGAUGGGAAUAAAGGAAGGGAGCAACUAAGAAGGAAGGAAAAGAUCAGGAGAAAGAUGAAGUAAGCGGGGGCCUGUCUGGGGACUGAGGAGUAUGCAGGACUGGGUAAGUAUUGCACAUCUGUUUAAAAUAGAUGUUGAGGUUGUUGGUCAACGGAGCAGCUGUUGAUAAAUGUUGAGAAAACAAAUCUGGCUGCUCUUCUGACCGAUAUAUACUGCAUGUAUGAACUGCACAAAAACAGCAAUGGUGUAAUUCUGUGCGUACCUGCCGCACAGCAAACCCCCACCCCCUUGGAAAACUCCAGGGUUCUGAAAGCAGAAGAAUUGAAGAUAAAGCAGGAACAUAACCCUCUCUCUUCUCUCUUGUUAUUUUUCCAACAGCAAACACCAGCUGAUGUCCCCUGUUCCGUUCCACACUGGUCAGAGCUGUUGUUGAUCCAGAGCAGCGUGGUGUUAGCCCAGCUGUAUCUGUCCAGAGUAGGUGGUGAGCAGGAGCAUGAUGGAGAAGCCUGUCAGCAGACCAGCAUUCUGGAUGGCAAAGCUCAUGGGGGAACUCCUCACACAGGAUGGCCACAGAGGUACUGAUGCCCUGAAAGACGGAGGCUGUGAACGAAGCCCCGAUAGCCAGACCAUCGAUAAAGUUGUGCAGCCCAUCACUUAAUGUGAUCAUCCAGGCCAGCGUACCAAUGUCUGAAUAAUUGGUCCCUUUUAGCCAAUAGCAGCCGGCGCUUCUGCCUGCAGAUCGCCCCCCGCCGUCUGUGCUCUGUGUCUGUGCAGGACUGAGCAUGAGUUCACCCUCUCCUGCAUCCACCUUGCUCACAGGCAAACUAUUUGCUUCCCCAUUCUGCUGGAGCUUCUCCUUCUCACCAUCCUCCAGGUCCCUCUCAGGGUAGAAACGUGUACUUACCCCAUGUUUCCGGUUGAGAAGCACUUUCAGGACCUUUUCAGUGAAGAAGAAAAGGUAAAAGCCUCCAAACACCACUGCAGACUUUGAUACAUACAAAUCCACCAUGGGGUCAAAUCCGAAGGCCUACACACAGAGAAAGGAAGACAAGGUUAGCUCCUGUUAUUCAAAGUCAAGUCAAAAUAUUACUCUCUGGUAUAUUUUCGAAAGAUGUGUUUGGAAUGUUGCGUAGGUAUCAUUUAAUGGAUUGGAAAUUACAGCACAUGUUUAGUCUAACUAGAUUCAUGCCCUAACCUUUUGAUUUAUUUCUGUACCAGUAAAAGGAAACCUAAUUUACAUACAAUUUUUUUUUUGAUUGUUUGUCUUUUGAAUACUGUUUUGGAUUUACUUAAAAUACAAUGGCUAAACGUGAUUUAAAAGAAUGUCUGGCAUAUUUUAAUAAAUGUCAACACUUUUAUGAAAAUG
Cynoglossus semilaevis (tongue sole) is the source of this 1653-nucleotide long non-coding RNA. RefSeq lists it as uncharacterized. The record is from RefSeq and is a predicted model, not a curated record. Lineage: Eukaryota; Metazoa; Chordata; Actinopteri; Pleuronectiformes; Cynoglossidae. The transcript is spliced from 6 exons.